CUCACUCAUUAGAAAAGGAAGGAAGAGGCUUCUCUUCUACUAUUUGAGAGUAAAGUAAACUGAGAUAGGCAAAAGAAGAAGAAGAAGCCCCUAAAAUGUGGUAGUGAGUCUUUUGGAUUUGUGAUGG
Molecule: non-coding RNA, 127 nt
Organism: Caenorhabditis elegans
Lineage: Eukaryota; Metazoa; Nematoda; Chromadorea; Rhabditida; Rhabditidae
Source: Ensembl